RNAcentral lists this long non-coding RNA (239 nucleotides) under Nicotiana benthamiana. Its description in RNAcentral is "long non-coding RNA (NBEN_LNC039224)". Lineage: Eukaryota; Viridiplantae; Streptophyta; Magnoliopsida; Solanales; Solanaceae. The record is from RNAcentral.
UUAGAAUUCUUCUUAGCUUGCUUGGAAGGAGGAUAGUCUAUAUUGCCAUAACCAAAGUCUCUACAAAAACUGCCUAGUUCUGCUUUGGAGUUCAAUCUAUCUUUCUUAAGAUGACUCUUAAGUUUUAGGUCUGUACAUAGCUCUAGGGCUGUGGUAUUAAUAAGACUAAUAAUAUCUCCGUAGGUAAUAAGUUCAUAGGGUACCUUACCGCCACACCUAUCUCUUAUUUUUGAUCUAAC